UACGAAGGGGGCUAGCGUUGUUCGGAUUUACUGGGCGUAAAGCGCACGUAGGCGGAUUGGUCAGUUAGGGGUGAAAUCCUGGAGCUCAACUCCAGAACUGCCUUUAAUACUGCCAAUCUCGAGUCCGGAAGAGGUAAGUGGAACUCCUAGUGUAGAGGUGGAAUUCGUAGAUAUUAGGAAGAACACCAGUGGCGAAGGCGGCUUACUGGUCCGGUACUGACGCUGAGGUGCGAAAGCGUGGGGAGCAAACAGG
RNAcentral lists this ribosomal RNA (253 nucleotides) under uncultured bacterium. RNAcentral describes it as "partial 16S ribosomal RNA". It matches the Rfam family "Bacterial small subunit ribosomal RNA", at positions 524 to 776 of the family's 1533-position model. The record is from RNAcentral.